This 465-nucleotide ribosomal RNA is filed under the name uncultured bacterium. RNAcentral describes it as "partial 16S ribosomal RNA". It matches the Rfam family "Bacterial small subunit ribosomal RNA", at positions 28 to 507 of the family's 1533-position model. The record is from RNAcentral.
GACGAACGCUGGCGGCGUGCUUAACACAUGCAAGUCGAACGGAAAGGCCCUGCUUGCAGGGUACUCGAGUGGCGAACGGGUGAGUAACACGUGGGUGAUCUGCCCUGCACUUCGGGAUAAGCCUGGGAAACUGGGUCUAAUACCGGAUAGGAGCCAUUUUUAGUGUGAUGGUUGCAAAGUUUUUUCGGUGUAGGAUGAGCUCGCGGCCUAUCAGCUUGUUGGUGGGGUAAUGGCCUACCAAGGCGGCGACGGGUAGCCGGCCUGAGAGGGUGGACGGCCACAGUGGGACUGAGAUACGGCCCAGACUCCGACGGGAGGCAGCAGUGGGGAAUAUUGCACAAUGGGCGCAAGCCUGAUGCAGCGCCGCCGCGUGGGGGAUGACGGCCUUCGGGUUGUAAACUCCUUUCGCUAGGGACGAAGCUUUUUGUGACGGUACCUAGAUAAGAAGCACCGGCUAACUACGUG